GCUUGACAUAUACUGGACUGCGUCAGAGAUGGCGUUUCCCUUCGGGGCUGGUAUACAGGUGGUGCAUGGUUGUCGUCAGCUCGUGUCGUGAGAUGUUGGGUUAAGUCCCGCAACGAGCGCAACCCUCGUUCUAUGUUGCCAGCACGUGAUGGUGGGGACUCAUAGGAGACUGCCGGGGUCAACUCGGAGGAAGGUGGGGAUGACGUCAAAUCAUCAUGCCCCUUAUGUCUUGGGCUUCACGCAUGCUACAAUGGCCGGUACAGAGGGUUGCGAUACUGUGAGGUGGAGCUAAUCCCUAAAAGCCGGUCUCAGUUCGGAUUGGGGUCUGCAACUCGACCCCAUGAAGUCGGAGUCGCUAGUAAUCGCAGAUCAGCAACGCUGCGGUGAAUACGUUCCCGGGCCUUGUACACACCGCCCGUCAAGUCACGAAAGUUGGUAACACCCGAAGCCGGUGGCCUAACCCUGGUGGGGGGAGCCGUCGAAGGUGGGACUGGCGAUUGGGACUAAGUCGUAACAAGGUAGCCGUACCGGAAGGUGCGGCUGGAUCACCUCCUUUCUAAGGAG
Molecule: ribosomal RNA, 564 nt
Rfam family: Bacterial small subunit ribosomal RNA